This is a long non-coding RNA of Coccinella septempunctata (seven-spotted ladybird), 7448 nucleotides long. RefSeq lists it as uncharacterized. The transcript has 7 exons. NCBI's taxonomy places the organism in Eukaryota, Metazoa, Arthropoda, Insecta, Coleoptera, Coccinellidae. The record is from RefSeq and is a predicted model, not a curated record.
AUAACUUUCCAGGACAGGUCACGCUUUUCCAGGAGAAAAGAGCCACAGCUUGGUUAAAGUUCUACAACUUUCCAGGAUAAAAGUACCACACUCUUCUGGAGAGGAGGACUACGAAUGCCAUGAGAAGAGGACCACGUCUAUCCAGGAGAAGAGAACAACGACUUUACAGGAGUAGAAGACCGCGUAGUUCCAGGAGUAGAGCACCGCGUCUUUUCAGGGGAAGAAACUGCUUUCCAAAAGAAAUUUAACUACAGGUUUCCAGAAUUAAGUGAACUACGGCUUUCGAAGAGGAAACUACUGCGGUUUUUAGAACAAUGUGACCACUUCUAUCCAAAACAAAAAUUACCACGGUGAAUAUGAUGAUUCAGACUUUCCAGAAUAAGAGUCAUAUGAUCUCGGCUGUCUAGAAGAACAAGACUACGACUUAACCCUUUCAAACCUAGUGGUUUCACUAUGCCUUUCACUUGCCUUCCACAAGAAAUAAUAAUAUUACUGGUAUUAUCAGUCUUGGUGGUUACAUGUAGAAACCACCCUUAAAAAAAAAUUGCAAAUAGAUAUUCAAUGAAAUAUAUUGAAUUCCAUGUAUUCUCGACCUCAAAAUAUGAGUUUAUUUUCAAUGAAAUUUUUUAAUUUGGGCCUGAAAGGGUUAACAGAAGAUGAUGAUCAAGAGUUUCCAGAAGAAGACGAUGACAAUUUUUUUCAGAAGAUGACCACGGCUCUCCAGAAGAAGAUAACACAGAAGAUUAUGAUCAAGACUCUUCAGAAGAGAAGGAAGACGACAAUGACUUUUAAGAAGAUGACUUUCCGGCUUUCCUGAAGAAUAUGACAGAAGAUUAUGAUCAAGAUUUUGAAGAAGAUGAAGAGCAAGAUUUUCCAGUAUGGUAGAAAAAUUCAGAUUUCUAAGAAAGACGAAUAUCAGAUUUGAUCGAAAGAGAUGAAAACGGCUUUUUACGACGUGAGGAUGGGUGCUUUCUAGAUUGAAGAGAUGGUUUCUCAAUGAGAAAUGGAAUUCCUGAAGACUUUUAGAUAAUGGUAGCUUUCUGAGCAUAGAAAACGGCUUUCCAGAAGAGCUCGUGUGAAAGGAAAUAAAUUAAAGGGUUAGAGUAUAUACUGGCACUUGCACCAAUUUUGAGAGAGUAAUUUAUAAGCUGAACACAAGAACAAAUAAUGAAAUAUUUCGAAUGGUUGAGCAAAAGGUUAUAGAUGUAGAUGAAGAAGAGAAAGAAGACUAUAUGAGAGAAUCUUGCAAAAUUGUAAAGGAAAAGAUGAUGAUGGUCCACUAAGAAUUCCCAACUAUCCAAUGAAGCCUGAGUGCGACUCCAGAAGAUUUUGGGCAGAUUCCCCACUGGUGAGGUCAGGAAUAACGAAUUAUUUUCCAGACAUCUGAAGAAAAGUAUCGCUGAGUAUGGGGCUCGACAUAAAUGAAAAAGAUGUCUUCAAGAUAGAAGAGGAUUGCCACGUCUUCGAAGAUUGACAUGAAAAAAGGGGCAAGAAAAGAGCUACAAGACAGAAGAAUACAAAUUAUUUUUCAGGAAAAAGAUAGUAGAUCAACAAGAAUGAAGAUUCCUCCAACCUAGACGGUGAAGAGUCAAGCCUUAAAUACUUUUCGGGCAGCUUUUUUUCAAUAGUUUCUUAUGAUUCAGAGCACUUGAAGUAGAUACGUGUUGUAUAGUUAAUGCAAAGUUCAUGGUACUCGUGCAUUGUGGAAUAAUGAAAAUUAAUAUUCUGGGCUUUGCUGGAAAUGAUGUCCCCUUUGCAUAUUUCUGAUAUUUAACACUAACACAAUCUUCAUAUGAUGCUAAACAGCAUGAAGUUGCAAAUAAUUCAGAGUAAUCUACAUAGAGUUUGUUUGUAUCGAUGAACCGCGCACUUAUUUAUAAUUUAUGACAAGCUAGCUGUUACUCUUUGGAAUUAUUGUUUCUGCAUGUGUACAACAAGUUCAUGAUUACUAAUAAUCUAGGCUGAUGUGUUGAACUGCAGAAAAAUUGGUGCAUGUGCGUGAUUGAGUUUUAGUUCGGGAAAGAUGGCAUCCAGUGAAUAAAAUGAGAAUGCAGAAGUUCAACAAGUAUAAGAACAAUGGUACUUUUGAAGUAUUGAGGUCAAAAGUAAUCUGUUAGUUUUCAGUUAUCUGAGAAGGCAUCGUUAUCACGAAAGAAAUCUUACACAUUGGUCUGUGAGACGAGAGAAGCGGAGGUGGAAGAUUUCCAGAGGCAGUGUAGUAGCAGCUUCCUAGAAGCAAUGAACAACUCUACUAAGAGAGGACGGCAGUUUUCCAACAGAAGAUGUCGCUAGCUGUCCCCGAAGCCAGAGGAAAUGAAGGCAACUUUCAAGGAUGAAAAAUUGACAAGCAGAAGAGAACGGCAGCUUCUUAGGAGAGAUUGGCGGCUUUCCAGAAGAAGUUGACGGUACUUUUCCCGGCGAAGAGGAGUAUGACUUUCAAGAUGAAGAGGAACCACGAUUUACCAGUGGAAGAGGACCACGACUCCCAGAAGGAGAGGGACCACGACUCCUAGAAGAAGAGGGACCACGACUCCCAGAAGUAGAGGACGUCGACUAACAGAAGUGGAGGAUCACGACUGCCAGAAGUAAAGGGACCACGAUUGCUAGAAGUAGGCGGACAACGAUUCCCAGAAGGAGAGGGACUACGGCUUACAGAAGGAGAGGACCAGGCCUACCAGAAGAAGAGGGACCAAGACUGCCAGAAGAGGAAGACAACGACUCACAGAAGGAGAGGGGCCACGUAGUCAAGGAGAGGAGAACAGCAGCUUCCUAGGAGGAGAGAUCGGUAGCUGCCCAGGAGAGGAGCUUUACCAAGAUGUUCCAGUAGGAAAGGACCACGACUGCCAGGAGAAUAUGACACAGAAGAUUAUGAUCAAGAUUUUGAAGAAGAUGAGAAGUGCACUAUUUUCUAGUAUAGUAGAAAGAUUCAGAAGAAGAGAGAACAAUAUCAGAUUUCUAGAUUGAAGAGAUUGUUUCCCAAUAGGAAAUGGUAUUCCUGAAGACCUUUAGGGGAUGGUAGUCUUCUGAGCAUAAAAAGCAGCUUUCCAGAUGAUCACAGUUCCUGUGAAAGGAAAAUACUAAUUUCGAGAGGAGCAAUUCAUAAGCUGAACACAAGGACAAGUAAUGAAAUAUUUCGAAUGGUUGAGUAGAUGGUCAUAAAUGUAGAUCAAGAAGAGAAAGAACACGAUAUGAUAGAAUCUUUCGAAAUUGUAAAGAAAAAGUUUACGUUUCAUUCCAGAUGCUGAUGGUCCAAUAAGAAUUCCCAACUAUCCUAUGAAGCCCUCAGUGCGAAUGCUGAAAUUUUUGGGCAGAUUUCCCACUGGUGAGGUCAGGAAUAACGAAUCAUUUUCCAGACAUCUGAAGAAAAGUAUCGCUGAGUAUGCGGCUCGGUAUAAAAGAAAAAAAUGUCGUCAAGAUAGAAGAGGAUUGCCACAUCUUCUAAGAUUGACAUGAAAAAGGGGCGAGAAAAGACAGACAAGACAGAAUGGAACUCAACUUCUUCCAAAUUGUGAUGACAACAGAUACAAAUCAUUUUUCAGGAAAAAGAUGGGAGAUCAACAAGAAUGAAGAUUCCUCCAACCAAGACGGUGAAGAGUUUAUGUCUAGCCUUAAAUAUUUUUUCGGGCAGCUUUUUUUCAAUAGUUUCUUAUGAUUCAGAGCACCUAAAGUAGAUACAUGUUUUUUAGUUCAUGGUACUCGUGCAUUGUGGAUUAAUGAAAAUUAAUAUUCUGGGCUUUGCUGGAAAUGAUGACCCCCUUUGCAUAUUUUUGAUAUUUAACACUAACAGAAUCUUCAUAUGAUGCUAAACAGCAUGAAGUUGCAAAUAAUUCAGAGUAAUCUAAACAGAGUUUUUAUAUAUCAAUGAUUCCUCGCACUCAUUUAUAAUUUAUGACAAGCUAGCUGUUACUCUUUGGAAUUAUUUUUUCUGCAUGUGUACAACAAGUUCAUGAUUAAUAAAAAUCUAGGCUGAUGUGUUGAACUACAGAAAAAUUGGUGCAUGUGCGUGAUUGAGUUUCAGUUCGGGAAAGAUGGCAUCCAGUGAAUAAAAUGAGAAUGCAGAAGUUUAACAAGUAAACGAACAAUGGUACUUUUGAGGUGUUGAGGUCAAAAGUAAUCUGUUAGUUUUCAGUUAUCUGAGAAGGCAUCAUUAUCACGAAAUGAGAUCUUACACAUUGGUCUGCGUGACGAGAGGAGGUGGAAGAUUUCCAGAGCCAGUGUAGUAGCAGCUUCCUAGAAGCAAUGAACAACGACUCUACGAAGAGAGGACGGCAGUUUUUCAACAGAGGAUGUCGCUAGCUAUCCACGAAGCCAGAGGAAAUGAAGGCAACUUUCAAGGAUGAAAAAUUGACAAGCGGAAGAGAACGGCAGCUUCUUAGGAGAGAUUGGCGGCUUUCCAGAAGAAGUUGACGGUACUUUUUCCGGCGAAGAUGAGUAUGAUUACCAAGAUGAAGAGGAACCACGAUUUACCAGGAGAAGAGGACCACGACUCCCAGAAGGAGAGGGACCACGACUCCCAGAAGUAGAGGACCACGAUUCCCAGAAGUAGAGGACCACGACUGCUAGAAGUAGGGGGACCACAAUUCCCAGAAGGAGAGGGACUACGGCUUACAGAAGGCGAGAACCAGGACUACCAGAAGGAGAGGACCACGACUCCCAGAAGUAGAGGACCACGACUGCCAGAAGUAAAGGGACCACGACUGCCAGAAGAAGAGAGACCACAACUGCUAGAAGUAUGGGGACAACAAUUCCCAGAAGGAGAGGGACUACGGCUUACAGAAGGCGAGAACCAGGACUACCAGAAGGAGAGGACCACGACUCCAAGAAGUAGAGGACCACGACUGCCAGAAGAAGAGAGACCACAACUGCUAGAAGUAUGGGGACCACAAUUCUCAGGAGAGGGACUACGGCUUACAGAAGGAGAGGACCAGGACUACCAAAAGUAGAGGGACCACGACUGCCAGAAGGAGAGGACCACGACUCCCAGAAGGAGAGGGACCACGUCGUCAAGGAGGAGAGAACAGCAGCUUUCUAGGAGGAGAGAUCGGUAGCUGCCCAGGAGAGGAGCUUUGCUACUUUCCAGGCGAAGAGGCCAAGAUUUUCCAGUAGGAAAGGACCACGACUACCAGGAGAAGAGGAUCACGACUGCCAGUAGGGGAGGACUGCUGUGGUUUUCCGGUUUCUCUAGGGAAUCGGUUGCUUCCAUCUUUAGGAGGAGUGGACGACAAUUAUCCAGAAGACUACUUCUUGGAGGAGAGAGUCGCAGCUUUCUAGGACAAGGGAUAGCAGCAUUCCAGGAUGCGAAGACGGCAAUUUUCCAGAAGAGGAACGCCGCAGAUUUCCCACAGGAGGUGGUUGCCAAGAGUUGCAGUUUCCAGUGGAAGUUUUUCUAGAGCGGAGGACUGCCGUAUAACGAAUGGUGAAGGCUCAGUGUUUUCAGGAAGAGAAUGGAAUUUUUCAUCAGAUUAGCGACGAAGCACUUGGGACAAUAGGUCGGAAAAAUCACCUUGAAGAUGCAGACAUGGAGGAAUUACGGUUCAGGAAGGAUACGAAUCAAUGCAGUGGAUUGAUGAAAAACAGGUAUUAAUCUCUUUUUCAGGUAUGUAGAUGCAGACGAGACGGAAUAUGGAACGAUGAAGAACUUUCAAAAUUCGAAGUAUGUACGUAAUUUUCAAUUCUGUUUGGGAGUCGUCAUGGUAAACGGUACCGGCAAUUUGUAAACGACCGAUUUGGAUGAAUGCCAUAUGAAAGUGGAUGAGUUUUUCAACUAAUAAUCUAACAUUCUAAUGGACGUAUUUCAACAUCCAAAAGGGGGGAUUUUGCGGAUUACAUUCAACGACAUUCUUAUGGACCUCCGCACCAUUUUGAUAUUAAUGCCACUACAUUUUUCUAAAUUUUGACGGACGUGAAAGAAAUGAAUCGAGACAUCUCCCAGUUUGUAGGACAGUAUCAAAGAAAUAACUAAGAAUAACUAGAGGUUAAAGGUUGGAAUAAAAUUCGGCCAAAACUGAGAUCAACACGAGUCACACUUCAUCAGUUUCGUUUUUCCUAAUGGAUAUAGAAUAAAAGUGAGAGAAUCUUUACCCUCGGCUUCACGUCAAGAUUGGAAAUACUCUGAUACCGAAUUACGCAUUCUAACAACGUGUGACGGAAUGGAACUUCUUUAGAUAUUCAUGAAAGAUUAAUAUCAACACUCCAUUCGGUCGGCGGCAAACAAAUCUUUAGUUAGUGAUGAACUACUACUAGCUAGAAAUUGACCAGUUUUCGAAAAAUUCUGGAGUUGAGCCAUCGAUAACAAGGCAACAAGCAGAAAACUUGAUGAACAGUCGCACCUUAAACUGAUGAUCUUUUGAAAAACGAAAUGAUUAAUAUCAACACUCCAUUCGUUGGCGCCAUAACAAGGCGGCAAACAGAAAUCUUUAAUUAGUGAUGAACUACUAGCACCUUGAAAGAAAUUUGAGCUCUUUUCGAAAAAUUCUGGAGUUGAGAGAUUCUUCUUGAAGAAUGGUCUUUUGAAAGUUGAGCCAUCGAUAACAAGGCAGCAAGCAGAAAACUUGAUUAACAGUCGCAUCUUAAAUUGACGAUCUUUUGAAAAAUUUUGGAGUUGGGACAUUAUUCUUGAAGAAUGAUCUUUGAGAGUUGGGCUAUAGAUGGUCCAAUCCUGAACGAGUUAUUAUCCACUGAACCUAAAAGGGUACUUGUACAAAUAAUAUUUCAUCAGUAUUCAAAACAGUGAUUCCAGAAUCCGACCAAAUCAUGUGAAUUUCCAGGAGCAUCUCGGUUCAGCAGGUAUGAAAUUUAUUUCUUUUAUUAAAUCAUUUGGUGACAGGAAUUGAAAGGACGAAUCAUGUUAAAGCAACGACCAUAAGAGUCUAGUCUUAUAUUUGAAGUUGUAGUAGAUACUAACGAAUUAUUCUUGAAUGAUUUUGCGAAACAUAGGAAGUAGAAGAAUAACAUCAGUCUUUAAAUGUGUUGUUAGCUGCUUUGGAGAACUUAAUUCAUACAUACUUGAUCAAAUGCAAUGCUUCAACAAUUUUGAGAGAUUUAUAAAAUGGGGAGAUAACGCGUUCAUGAGAGGGGUUAACAUUGAUUCUUGAGAUUUGCAUUGCUUUUCGAUAGUGAUACGCUUUUCAAAAUUUUCUCUACUGAAUUUACUGCCUUUCAAUCCCUUCAAGAGAAGUUAGGAGUUUAAUUGGAUAAAUAUUCACAAACUGAGAAAUUAUUUCAUUUAAUUUGAAGAAACCUACAUUUGGAGAACAAGUCAGAGGAAUUGACCAGAUUAUUCGAACAAAGAUCAUAAAUCUGGAACCCACUUGCAAUAAGUCUCUGCAGUUUUGAAGUUGCACUUGAAUUAAAUCUUUCAUAAUAAUUGUCAGUGCGCAUUGUCAUAAUAAGUAGAUAAUUUCUCAGUUGAAAUAAUAAGGAAUAUAUUAAUAAAUGGUUUCAGGAAA